CAAGGAGGGAAAACUAAGAACGUCACAUCGUGUGACAACGUUUUCCUGACCAACAUCCUGUUG
RNAcentral lists this small RNA (63 nucleotides) under uncultured Psychrobacillus sp. RNAcentral's name for it is "Bacillaceae-1 RNA". It matches the Rfam family "Bacillaceae-1 RNA". Lineage: Bacteria; Bacillati; Bacillota; Bacilli; Caryophanales; Bacillaceae. The record is from RNAcentral.